Molecule: ribosomal RNA, 490 nt
Filed under: uncultured bacterium
Lineage: Bacteria
Description: partial 16S ribosomal RNA
Rfam family: Bacterial small subunit ribosomal RNA
Source: RNAcentral
AGUGAACGCUGGCGGUAGGCCUAACACAUGCAAGUCGAACGGCAGCACAGGAGAGCUUGCUCUCUGGGUGGCGAGUGGCGGACGGGUGAGGAAUACAUCGGAAUCUGCCCAGUCGUGGGGGAUAACGUAGGGAAACUUACGCUAAUACCGCAUACGACCUUCGGGUGAAAGAGGGGGAUCGCAAGACCUCUCGCGAUUGGAUGAGCCGAUGUCGGAUUAGCUAGUUGGCGGGGUAAUGGCCCACCAAGGCGACGAUCCGUAGCUGGUCUGAGAGGAUGAUCGGCCACACUGGAACUGAGACACGGUCCAGACUCCUACGAGAGGCAGCAGUGGGGAAUAUGGGACAAUGGGCGCAAGCCUGAUCCAGCCAUACCGCGUGGGUUAAGAAGGCCUUCGGGUUGUAAAGCCCGUUUGUUGGGAAAGAAAUCUUUCAGGCUAAUACCCUGGGAGAAUGACGGUACCCAAAGAAUAAGCACCGGCUAACUUCGUG